AGCGGCGGACGGGUGAGUAAUGCCUAGGAAUCUGCCUGUUAGUGGGGGAUAACGCGGGGAAACUCGCGCUAAUACCGCAUACGUCCUACGGGAGAAAGUGGGGGACCCUCGGGCCUCACGCUAACAGAUGAGCCUAGGUCGGAUUAGCUAGUUGGUGGGGUAAAGGCCCACCAAGGCGACGAUCCGUAACUGGUCUGAGAGGAUGAUCAGUCACACUGGAACUGAGACACGGUCCAGACUCCUACGGGAGGCAGCAGUGGGGAAUAUUGGACAAUGGGCGAAAGCCUGAUCCAGCCAUGCCGCGUGUGUGAAGAAGGUCUUCGGAUUGUAAAGCACUUUAAGUUGGGAGGAAGGGCGCUCGGUGAAUACCCAAGCGUCUUGACGUUACCGACAGAAUAAGCACCGGCUAACUUCGUGCCAGCAGCCGCGGUAAUACGAAGGGUGCAAGCGUUAAUCGGAAUUACUGGGCGUAAAGCGCGCGUAGGUGGUUCGGCAAGUUGGAUGUGAAAGCCCCGGGCUCAACCUGGGAACCGCAUCCAAAACUACUGGGCUAGAGUACGGUAGAGGGUGGUGGAAUUUCCUGUGUAGCGGUGAAAUGCGUAGAUAUAGGAAGGAACACCAGUGGCGAAGGCGACCACCUGGACCGAUACUGACACUGAGGUGCGAAAGCGUGGGAGCAAACAGGAUUAGAUACCCUGGUAGUCCACGCCGUAAACGAUGUCGACUAGCCGUUGGGCUCCUUGAGAGCUUAGUGGCGCAGCUAACGCAUUAAGUCGACCGCCUGGGGAGUACGGCCGCAAGGUUAAAACUCAAAUGAAUUGACGGGGGCCCGCACAAGCGGUGGAGCAUGUGGUUUAAUUCGAAGCAACGCGAAGAACCUUACCUGGCCUUGACAUCCUGCGAACUUUCAAGAGAUUGAUGGGUGCCUUCGGGAGCGCAGAGACAGGUGCUGCAUGGCUGUCGUCAGCUCGUGUCGUGAGAUGUUGGGUUAAGUCCCGUAACGAGCGCAACCCUUGUCCUUAGUUACCAGCGAUUCGGUCGGGCACUCUAAGGAGACUGCCGGUGACAAACCGGAGGAAGGUGGGGAUGACGUCAAGUCAUCAUGGCCCUUACGGCCAGGGCUACACACGUGCUACAAUGGUCGGUACAAAGGGUUGCCAAGUCGCGAGGCGGAGCUAAUCCCAGAAAACCGAUCGUAGUCCGGAUCGCAGUCUGCAACUCGACUGCGUGAAGUCGGAAUCGCUAGUAAUCGCGAAUCAGAAUGUCGCGGUGAAUACGUUCCCGGGCCUUGUACACACCGCCCGUCACACCAUGGGAGUGGGUUGCUCCAGAAGUAGCUAGUCUAACCCUCGGGAGGACGGUUACCACGG
RNAcentral lists this ribosomal RNA (1370 nucleotides) under Azotobacter vinelandii. RNAcentral's name for it is "16S ribosomal RNA". It matches the Rfam family "Bacterial small subunit ribosomal RNA", at positions 94 to 1462 of the family's 1533-position model. Lineage: Bacteria; Pseudomonadati; Pseudomonadota; Gammaproteobacteria; Pseudomonadales; Pseudomonadaceae. The record is from RNAcentral.